Molecule: ribosomal RNA, 1237 nt
Filed under: metagenome
Description: bacterial LSU rRNA
Rfam family: Bacterial large subunit ribosomal RNA
Source: RNAcentral
UGAACUAGGCAAAAUGGCACCGUAACUUCGGGAGAAGGUGCACUGCUGGUGGUGAAGGGUUUACCCCGUAAGCUACUGGCAGUCGAAGAUACCAGGCCGCUGCGACUGUUUAUUAAAAACACAGCACUCUGCAAACACGAAAGUGGACGUAUAGGGUGUGACGCCUGCCCGGUGCCGGAAGGUUAAUUGAUGGGGUCAGCCGCAAGGCGAAGCUCUUGAUCGAAGCCCCGGUAAACGGCGGCCGUAACAAUAACGGUCCUAAGGUAGCGAAAUUCCUUGUCGGGUAAGUUCCGACCUGCACGAAUGGCGUAACGAUGGCGGCGCUGUCUCCACCAGAGACUCAGUGAAAUCGAAAUCGCGGUGAAGAUGCCGUGUACCCGUGGCUAGACGGAAAGACCCCGUGAACCUUUACUGUAGCUUCACACUGGACUUUGACAUGAUCUGUGUAGGAUAGCUGGGAGGCUUUGAAGUGCGGACGCCAGUUCGCAUGGAGCCAACCUUGAAAUACCAGCCUGGUCCUGUCGGGGUUCUAACGUCGACCUGUUAUCCAGGUUACGGACAGUGUGUGGUGGGCAGUUUGACUGGGGCGGUCUCCUCCCAAAGAGUAACGGAGGAGCACGAAGGUGCGCUAAUCACGGUCGGAAAUCGUGAGGUUAGUGUAAAGGCACAAGCGCGCUUGACUGCGAGACAAACAAGUCGAGCAGGUACGAAAGUAGGUCUUAGUGAUCCGGUGGUUCUGUAUGGAAGGGCCAUCGCUCAACGGAUAAAAGGUACUCCGGGGAUAACAGGCUGAUACCGCCCAAGAGUUCAUAUCGACGGCGGUGUUUGGCACCUCGAUGUCGGCUCAUCACAUCCUGGGGCUGAAGCCGGUCCCAAGGGUAUGGCUGUUCGCCAUUUAAAGUGGUACGCGAGCUGGGUUUAGAACGUCGUGAGACAGUUCGGUCCCUAUCUGCCAUGGGCGUUGGAGAUUUGAGAAGAGUUGCUCCUAGUACGAGAGGACCGGAGUGAACGAACCUCUGGUGUACCGGUUGUUUCGCCAGAAGCAUCGCCGGGUAGCUAAGUUCGGACGGGAUAACCGCUGAAAGCAUCUAAGCGGGAAGCCUCCUUCAAGAUGAGAUCUCCCUGGGGCCUUGAGCCCCCUAAAGGGCCGUCGAAGACUACGACGUUGAUAGGCGGGGUGUGGAAGCGCUGUGAGGCGUUGAGCUGACCCGUACUAAUUGCCCGUGAGGCUUGACCG